AGCAGCCGCGGUAAUUCCAGCUCCAAUAGCGUAUAUUAAAGUUGCUGCAGUUAAAAAGCUCGUAGUUGAAUUUCGGGAUCAAUAUGUUGGUCGUGCCUCGGUACGUACUAGCUUAUUGGUUUCUCCCUUCUGACGAACCAUGAUGUCAUUUAUUUGGUGUUAUGGGAAAUCAGGACUGUUACUUUGAAAAAAUUAGAGUGUUUAAAGCAGGCUCACGCUUGAAUACAUUAGCAUGGAAUAAUGAAAUAGGACGUUUGAUUCUAUUUUGUUGGUUUCUAGGAUCGACGUAAUGAUUAAUAGGGAUAGUUGGGGGCAUUAGUAUUCAAUUGUCAGAGGUGAAAUUCUUGGAUUUAUUGAAGACUAACUACUGCGAAAGCAUUUGCCAAGGAUGUUUUCAUUAAUCAAGAACGAAAGUUAGGGGAUCGAAGACGAUCAGAUACCGUCGUAGUCUUAACCAUAAACUAUGCCGACUAGGGAUCGGAUGAUGUUAAUUUUUAAUGACUCAUUCGGCGCCUUAAC
This 519-nucleotide ribosomal RNA is filed under the name uncultured Glomus. Its description in RNAcentral is "SSU rRNA". It matches the Rfam family "Eukaryotic small subunit ribosomal RNA", at positions 569 to 1092 of the family's 1831-position model. The record is from RNAcentral. Lineage: Eukaryota; Fungi; Glomeromycota; Glomeromycetes; Glomerales; Glomeraceae.